RNAcentral lists this ribosomal RNA (484 nucleotides) under uncultured Escherichia sp. Its description in RNAcentral is "bacterial SSU rRNA". It matches the Rfam family "Bacterial small subunit ribosomal RNA", at positions 8 to 506 of the family's 1533-position model. The record is from RNAcentral. Lineage: Bacteria; Pseudomonadati; Pseudomonadota; Gammaproteobacteria; Enterobacterales; Enterobacteriaceae.
AGAGUUUGAUCCUGGCUCAGAUUGAACGCUGGCGGCAGGCCUAACACGUGCAAGUCGAACGGUAACAGGAAGAAGCUUGCUUCUUUGCUGACGAGUGGCGGACGGGUGAGUAAUGUCUGGGAAACUGCCUGAUGGAGGGGGAUAACUACUGGAAACGGUAGCUAAUACCGCAUAACGUCGCAAGACCAAAGAGGGGGACCUUCGGGCCUCUUGCCAUCGGAUGUGCCCAGAUGGGAUUAGCUAGUAGGUGGGGUAAAGGCUCACCUAGGCGACGAUCCCUAGCUGGUCUGAGAGGAUGACCAGCCACACUGGAACUGAGACACGGUCCAGACUCCUACGGGAGGCAGCAGUGGGGAAUAUUGCACAAUGGGCGCAAGCCUGAUGCAGCCAUGCCGCGUGUAUGAAGAAGGCCUUCGGGUUGUAAAGUUCUGUCUUUGGGGACGAUAAUGACGGUACCCAAGGAGGAAGCCACGGCUAACUACGU